ACGAGGGUGGCGGAAUUGGCAGACGCGCCAGGUUUAGGUCCUGGUCCUGAAAAGGAUGUGGGUUCGAGUCCCACCCCUCGUA
RNAcentral lists this transfer RNA (82 nucleotides) under Phycisphaerae bacterium. RNAcentral's name for it is "tRNA-Leu". It matches the Rfam family "tRNA". Rfam says of the family: Transfer RNA (tRNA) molecules are approximately 80 nucleotides in length. Their secondary structure includes four short double-helical elements and three loops (D, anti-codon, and T loops). Further hydrogen bonds mediate the characteristic L-shaped molecular structure. tRNAs have two regions of fundamental functional importance: the anti-codon, which is responsible for specific mRNA codon recognition, and the 3' end, to which the tRNAs corresponding amino acid is attached (by aminoacyl-tRNA synthetases). tRNAs cope with the degeneracy of the genetic code in two manners: having more than one tRNA (with a specific anti-codon) for a particular amino acid; and 'wobble' base-pairing, i.e. permitting non-standard base-pairing at the 3rd anti-codon position. Lineage: Bacteria; Pseudomonadati; Planctomycetota; Phycisphaerae. The record is from RNAcentral. RNAcentral also lists the same sequence under 1 other name.